UGCACCGGCGGCAUACGGAGGUUCCCAGGCUAGGGGUCAAAUCAGAGCUACAGCUGCCGGCCUACACCACAGCUCACAGCAACGCUGGAUCUUUAAACACUGAGUGAGGCCAGGGAUCAAACCCAAAACCUCAUGCUUAGUAGGUGGAUUCGUUUCCGAUGCACCACAAUGGGAACUCCUGAAUUUUUUUUGAAAUUUUAUUUUAUCGUGGUAAGAACACUUAAAAGAUCUACCUUCAUAACAAAUUUUUUUAGGUGUACAAUAUGUAUUGACUAUUGGUACAAUGUUACAGAGCAGAUCUCUCAAGUUUAUUUAUCCAGCUUCACUUAAACUUUACACUCGCUGAUGAGCAACUCCCCACUUCCCCGGCCCCAGUCCCUGAAUUUUUAAAUCACUGAGAACCAGAGAGCUCUCAACCUCUCCAUCUACCUAUGCACUGUGUUCCUAUUCCCUCGCGAUACAUAUAUUUUCAAUUACUCACUUGGUUUGGGGGUUAGGAUACAGUUAACUGGUUGAAAUAGUCAUUCUGUUUACAUCUGUCUAAAUGAGAAGAAACUGGAAGCUCCCCACCACCACCCGCCCAGUCAGAGAAGCGCAUGGUGAGGGGGCUGGGGUCCCAACGGCACUGAGCACUACCCGAGUGGACCCCCAACCCCCGCCUCAACUUGAACGCAGAGGGCCACGCCCCGCUGAUAAAACCAUCUGCCAGUUACCAGUAUCUGUUCUCACCUAAUGGUCUAUGCUGCAUGCAAGGAAAGUGAAAUGAAGAUAAAACAUAUCACCAGAAAGGCACCGGCAGAAAUAACCCCCCAGUUAGAAAAUAACCCCUUUCUCCCUCCUUCCUCCAUGGAUGCAGCUGGUUCACUAUUUACUGAAGACCGACAAAGUGCUGGAGACGGAUGCGAAGGGCGAGUUGGUUCUGCAGCCCUCCCAAGGCGGCAGGGAGGCGAACUGCCGCGAGGAAUGAAAGCCGGAGAAGAGGCGGCGAGUCCCGGGCUCCCGGGCUCAGAGCAAAGUGCCAGGCCUGUGCCCCACCUGUCCAUCUACCUCCUCCUGAGCAAAGGUAGGCACUAUGGCCUCACUCUGAAGUCCUGAAAGCUAAGGAACAGAACAGAACCACUGAGUAACCUCACCCAACACCAGAGCUGGGAUUCGAAUCCACAAGUCUGAACCAGGACCUGAACUCACGAGACGGAGAUGAAGUGCCUUGCUGGGAGGGUCACGGAGGGCCCUCCUCUCAUUACCCACUUGGAAAACGGCCUUCAUCCUUGGACAGAAUUCAGGAAUCAUCUGCUCUCUGAAACCUGACUCAUUCUCCUCCCAGCCUCAGCAAUUAAUAACAUCCUUAUUCACUGUUACGACACAACAGUGGCCAAGGAGUUUGUUUUAUAUUUUUUAAUUUUUUAGCCACCAGCCGGCACCACAGCCACAGCAACACCAGAUCCAAGCCGCAUCUGUGACCUACACCACAGCUCACGGCAACGCCGGCUCCCCCACCCGGUGAGUGAGGCCUCCUGGAUACUCGUCGGGUUCAUUUCCGCUGCACCACAACAGGAACUCCCAAGGAGUGUGUUUCACAAAGAAAGUGAGGUGAUGGGCCCAUGACCCUGGGAUGCACUCAUCUCGCCGCACACCCCUCACGCAGAAGCACCUGGCCCUAGAGAACGGUGGAACGGCCUCCUGGGAACUCACCGUACUGGACAGGAGACUCGCCUCUGGAGUCAGAGAGCUGUCCCACAAGCUGCAGCCGUACACACUGCACAGACGCCCAACAGAUGGUGCUGGUUCUCCAAACACCCAGGAAACCGGGGUCCAGACCAGAGCAGCACCCCACUCUCACCUCAGUGUAAGUUCUGCCUUCCCUCCGUCACAAGGCUGGUUGGGAUCCAUCAGAAGUCUUAGCAUCCAAGAGCUGAACACUGGCACCAGAUACUGUUUCAGUACCCAGGAGCUAGCCUGGCCACCCAGACUCCUAACGCCUUGUAACCUGCUAAGGUUAAAAAAAGAAGAAACCAACCAACAAAAACGGUGACCAGCGACAGUGAUGGUCAAGGAUAAACAGAACACAAAACAGGUGGUAAACCCCACAGAGUACGUCUUCUUUAAAAAUACCUAUUUCUGGGGUUUCCACUGUGACUCGGCAGGUUAGGAGCCGGACACAGUGUUCGCAAGGAUGCAGGUUAGACCCCUGGCCUGGCUCCACGAGUUAAGGAGCUUGCGGUGUUGCUGCAAGCUGUAGCGCAGGUCACAGAUGCGGCUCGAAUCCCCCACACUGCUGUGGCUGUGGCACAGACCAGCAGCUGCAGUUCUGAUUCAACCCCUAGCCUGGGAACUUUCCAUAACCCCCAGGUGCAGCCCUAAAGAGAAGGGAAAAAAAUGUAUCUUUGAAGUUCCCAUGUGGUGCAACAGGUUAAGGAUCUGGCAUUGUCACUGCAGCAGCUUGGGCUGUGGCAAGGGUUCUAUCCCUGAACCCGAAGCCUGGUGCAACCAAAGAGAAAAACUAAAACACAAACAAAUGCCUUUUUAAAAAAUGCCUAAAAACAUAUCAAGAAUAUAGUGGAGGAAUUCCCAUCGUGGCGCAGUGGUUAACGAAUCCGACUAGGAACCAUGAGGUUGCCGGUUCCAUCCCUGGCCUGGCCCAGUGGGGCAUAAGGCCUAUUUCCUACCGAAAUAACUUCUUGAUAACCAGAAUUAAUGAGUUAAUGUUGCUUCUGAUUUUGUUUGCUUUUAAAUUAAUGCAAAAUGAUUCAUUCAUAAAUGAAAAAUGCUGUGCGUGUAGAAUUUAAAACUCCUCUGUUCAAGUUUAUUAAGACAGUUUAGACGUAAGCAUUCACUCCGGGAACGAGGCUGCAGCUUCUGAACGUCAGAGAACCUGAGGCCCUGUCCUCGGCCUCUGCUCACCUACGCUGUCCCUCCGCCAACCAUGUCCACUAACCAUCAAUACAUAUAAUUCCCAGAAGGCAGUUUGGGGCUCAAAUGCCUUUGAGGCAACUAUGUAAGCUGCACCUCCCCUUAGGUAUCUCAAGGCACUUUGGGCUCAACAUGUCCAAAGCCAAAUUUACACACCUCAACCCCUGUGGCAAUGGCGAGCCAGAGCUCCCGGCAGUGCCCACUGCAAAGAGAACGGCCGACAAGCAGAGGCAGCCAUCCUGGUGCGAGGGACAGCCCCACCCCAUGCAAGGAAGAUCUGUGCUCCUGAGAAGACACCACGGCCCGUUCUCCACCGCCACCCCUACGCCAAAAUCCAGGAGGCACACCACACACCCGCCAAACGCCUGCCAGCACCUGACACCGGGCGGCUCCCUGGUGUUCCUGCCUCCGCCUCUGCACCUGACGACCACGACGCAUCUAGAACAAUUCCUUCAGACCCUGAGUGACAGCAUGCCACGCUUCUGCUCAAAACCCUGCCACCUUAGCAAGAUAAAAGUUCAUGUCAUUAGAUGGACAGAGGAGAACCUCCAAGUCUGUCCAGACAGAGCCCAACAAGCAGGCACUCAGCAGAUGCUCACGGGACAGAGGGCCACGCGUGACAGACAUGCGGCGACAUCAGACCUCAACACGGAGCUGCAUGCAGAUAAGAGCAGGGCCCGUGCUCCGAGCUGUUUGGUAGCGAACACACAAGCACAAGCAAGGCCCCCCAGAUCCAGCCCUUCUGCAGAGGCCCCAUCUCAGGGAAAACCCUUUCUAAAGUCAGACUCCUGAGAACCCACGCUGACCUUCCGGCACUCACCCACCUCGUUCUCCACCUCUACUGCCUCCUCUCACCUGGAUUACGAGGGGCCUUCGGCCUCCCUGUGUCUACUGUCACCCGACAAACCAUCAUUCUCACUGCGGCCAGAACGGGCUUCUCUGCUUCUCAAGGCCCACCAAGUGUCUGCAGGCGCUCUUCACCAAAAGAGCCAAAGCCGCGGUCUAGCCCUCCAGGCUCCACCCGGUGCCUCCCAGG
This 3946-nucleotide long non-coding RNA is filed under the name Sus scrofa (pig). Its description in RNAcentral is "lncRNA (ENSSSCG00005034476.1)". The record is from RNAcentral. Lineage: Eukaryota; Metazoa; Chordata; Mammalia; Artiodactyla; Suidae.